GGGAUGUUAGCUCAGCAGCAAAGUGCCUGCCUAGAAUGCAGGAGGCACUGGGUUUCAUCCCCAACAUGCCA
RNAcentral lists this transfer RNA (71 nucleotides) under Mesocricetus auratus (golden hamster). It matches the Rfam family "tRNA". From Rfam's summary of the family: Transfer RNA (tRNA) molecules are approximately 80 nucleotides in length. Their secondary structure includes four short double-helical elements and three loops (D, anti-codon, and T loops). Further hydrogen bonds mediate the characteristic L-shaped molecular structure. tRNAs have two regions of fundamental functional importance: the anti-codon, which is responsible for specific mRNA codon recognition, and the 3' end, to which the tRNAs corresponding amino acid is attached (by aminoacyl-tRNA synthetases). tRNAs cope with the degeneracy of the genetic code in two manners: having more than one tRNA (with a specific anti-codon) for a particular amino acid; and 'wobble' base-pairing, i.e. permitting non-standard base-pairing at the 3rd anti-codon position. The record is from Rfam by way of RNAcentral. Lineage: Eukaryota; Metazoa; Chordata; Mammalia; Rodentia; Cricetidae.